This 732-nucleotide ribosomal RNA is filed under the name Aciculosporium siamense. Its description in RNAcentral is "partial large subunit ribosomal RNA". It matches the Rfam family "Eukaryotic large subunit ribosomal RNA", at positions 146 to 906 of the family's 3401-position model. Lineage: Eukaryota; Fungi; Ascomycota; Sordariomycetes; Hypocreales; Clavicipitaceae. The record is from RNAcentral.
UAAUUUGCAGAGGAUGCUUUUGGCGAGGCGCCUUCCGAGUUCCCUGGAACGGGACGCCGCAGAGGGUGAGAGCCCCGUCUGGUCGGACGCCGAGCCUCUGUAAAGCUCCUUCGACGAGUCGAGUAGUUUGGGAAUGCUGCUCUAAACGGGAGGUAUAUGUCUUCUAAAGCUAAAUACCGGCCAGAGACCGAUAGCGCACAAGUAGAGUGAUCGAAAGAUGAAAAGCACUUUGGAAAGAGGGUUAAACAGUACGUGAAAUUGUUGAAAGGGAAGCGCUCGUGGCCAGACUUGGGCGCGGCGGAUCACCCGGCGUUCUCGCCGGGGCACUCCGCCGGGCCCAGGCCAGCAUCAGCUCGCGCCGGGGGACAAAGGCGGCGGGAACGUGGCUCCUCCGGGAGUGUUAUAGCCCGCCGCGCAAUGCCCUGGGGCGGGCUGAGGUUCGCGCGUCCGCAAGGAUGCUGGCGUAAUGGCCACCAGCGACCCGUCUUGAAACACGGACCAAGGAGUCGUCUUCGUAUGCGAGUGUUCGGGUGUCAAACCCCUACGCGCAAUGAAAGUGAACGCGGGUGAGAGCUUCGGCGCAUCAUCGACCGAUCCUGAUGUUCUCGGAUGGAUUUGAGUAGGAGCAUACGGGGCCGGACCCGAAAGAAGGUGAACUAUGCCUGUAUAGGGUGAAGCCAGAGGAAACUCUGGUGGAGGCUCGCAGCGGUUCUGACGUGCAAAUCGAUCGUC